This 9018-nucleotide long non-coding RNA is filed under the name Nicotiana tabacum (common tobacco). RNAcentral's name for it is "long non-coding RNA (NTAB_LNC005470)". The record is from RNAcentral. Lineage: Eukaryota; Viridiplantae; Streptophyta; Magnoliopsida; Solanales; Solanaceae.
CCGAAACGACACUAAUAUAAUAAUAAACUAAGUCACUAUUGGCACUUUUCCUUAUUACAUUUUAGGAAAAGCAAGUAAAUCUAGCCUAUUUGGUCCCAGAAGGAUCUUCCUCAGGCUGAAUGCUCUCGUUGAUCAAGUCCUCCAGUUCGCGUAGGUUCACCAGUAAGAAUGCAUUUGCCAAAUGUUCUCCUUCGUUUCCCUCAGCGUUCUGGUAGUCGGUGACUCUCUUCCUCGCUUUUCCUUCCAAUUCCAGCAGACUGUAUUCCUGAUAUUCUAGCUUUUCGCUGGAUUUGGUGGUCCUCUCUUUCCAUUUAUUGAUUUGGUCAUCUGAUGGAAGAUUCCUCCACCAGUCUACCAAGAGUAAGGGUGUACUAACCAUACCGAAGCUGGGGACCUCGUGCCUCAUUUUCUACAAAACAAAAGGGUUAGACCUUACCCCCAUCGGACUCGACUAUUUAUACAUUUAUGAUCAACAUAUCGGCAUUUUGUUCUCCAAAUUAAUGCACUGAACGUGGUUGCGUCCGUUGGGAUUAUGGAAAACCCGAUGGAAUUUGGAUAAGGCUUAACUUAAAGGAUCAUUAUGUGGACAACAUAACUGACCCGACUAGGUUUGACCAUGAUGCAUGCACAAUUUAAAUAGAGUAAGGACUAUGGGGUUUUAGACUGGUACCCUCAAUCAGACAACUUGAGGGGGAAGGCACGGAUUCGUCGACUGCAUCGCUGAUCGACUUAAGGGGAAGGCACGGAACCGAAUUUAAGGGAUAUGAAGAGCGCAACCACUCAUUAAAGUGUUGCUAUAGGAUUUAAGACGCACGAGUGGAAUAUGAUGUGGAGCAUGAUUUAUGCAGCAGUUAAUAACAUGUAGGCAAGUAUUUUCAUGUAGUUAUAAAUAAAUACAACAUUUAAAUAAUUGAAAAGACAGUUACAAGAAAAGGAAAACAAAGAGACAAAUAAGUUUUCAGGGGUAAAGAAUCAUAAAUUCUUAAAAAUAGAUAGUUAAAUUCAGAUAAGGGAGCAGGGUACGAGAUAAGCAUGCUUAAACUAAUUUAAAAAGACAAGUUUGUUAUGGUAAGAGCUUAAAGGUAUCCCCAGCAGAGUCGCCAUGCUAUCGUGCCCUCUUUUUUCCCUUAGCGGGGAGUAAGUCCGGGUUUCGACAUUCAUGGGGUGUAAUGACUCAUUUCCUUUUGGGAAUUGGGUAUUUGAAGAGUCGCCACCUAAUGGAUUAUGGUGCGUUAGGGCACCUAGAGCGAUUAACUCUUUGGUUGGUUUGCAUUAGCAGAGAUUAGGGUAAGGGCUCGAAAUAACCUUGAGGGGAAUGUGUUAGGCACGCUUCUUGGUCCACAACUGUGGGUCCCGGCCGAACUUAUAUUCACAAAUUAUUCCAUACAAAAAGUUGAAUCAAAUAAGUUGUUUGUAAAGCAUAUUGAACAAUUCAAGUAGUGAAAUAAAGGUUUGAACAAAUUAUAAACAAACAAAGUUUUAAACAAGGAGAGGAUUUGGGUAAGAAGGGGUCCUAGGUUGUUUAUCCUGCAUCAACACACACCUAUUGCCGACCCGAGAAGCAUCACAAUAUACCGUGUAAGAACCUGAAUCUGUUGGAAAAACUAACACUAGAAUUGUGGUCAAGGCGGUCUUAAGCUUCUGAAAGCUCGCCUCACACUCAUCCGACCACAUGAAAGGAGCACCAUUUUGGGUCAAUUUGGUCAAGGGUUAUGCAAUAGAUGAAAAUCCCUGAAUGAACCGACGGUAAUAACCUGCCAACCCAAGAAAGCUAGGAAUAUCUGUGGCUGAGGACGGUCUAGGCAAACUCUGGACUACCUCUAUCCUCUUUGGAUUAACCUGAAUACCCUCACUAGACACCACGUGCCCCAAGAACGCCACUGAACUAAGCCAAAACUCACACUUGGAGAACUUAGCAUAAAGAUUCUCCUCCCUCAACCGCUGUAAUUCAACUCUCAAAUGCUAGGCGUGCUACUCCUGGCUACGAGAGUACACCAGGUUAUCAUUAAUGAAAAUAAUAACAAACGAGUCGAGAUAAGGUCGAAACAUGUUGUUCAUCAAAUGCAUGAACGUUGCUGGGGUAUUGGUCAGCCCAAAAGACAUCACAAGGAACUCAUAAUGACCAUAUCGAGUCUUGAAAGCUAUUUUAAGAAUGUCCAAGUCCUUAAUCUCCAACUGGUAAUACCCUGACUUGAGAUCAAUCUUGGAGAACACUCUCGCACCCUCAAUCUGGUUAAAUAAAUCAUCAAUACGAGGCAAAUGAUACUUGUUCUUGAUUAUGACUUUGUUCAACUGCCUGUAAUCAAUGCACAUUCUCAUAGUGCCAUUCUUCUUCUUCACAAAUAAAAUAGGCGCACCCCAAGGUGACACACUAGGCCGAAUAAACCCCUUAUCAAAGAGUUCCUGAAGCGGCUCCUUCAAUUCAUUUAACUCUGCUGGUGCCAUACGAUACGGUGGAAUAGAAAUGGGCUGAGUGCCUGACUCCAAAUCAAUAUCGAAACUGAAUCAAUGGUAGGAGUCUCUGUACUGACAUCCCUCACAAAGGCCAAAUAAGAAAGACAACCCUUCCUAACCAUCGUUGGGCCUUUAAAAAUGAAAUCACUCUACUGGAAUAUAAUCUGAUGAACCUCGCCACUCAAUCCGUGGCACCAUCGUCAUAGCCAAUGUUACCAUCUUAGCGUGACAGUCCAGAAUAGCAUGACACAAACACAACCAAUCCAUGGCCAAUAUCACAUCAAAAUCAAUCAUACUAAGCAGUAGAAGGUCUACUAGGGUCUCCAAACCCCCAAUAGUCACCACACAAGAUCGAUAUACGCGGUUUACAACAAUAGUAUCGCCCACCGGAGUAGAUACACAAACAGAUAAAAUAAGAGACUCAUGGGGCGUAUCCAAAUAAUGAGCAAAAUAUGAUGACACAUAUGAAAAAGUGGAACCAGGAUCAAAUAAUACAGAGGCAUCCCUGUGGCAAACUAAGAUAAUACCUGUGAUCAUAGCAUCUAAAGCAAUAGCAUCUGGUCUGGCUGGAAGUGCAUAGAAAGGUCUAACCACCACCUGAUUGACCUCCCCCUCUAGGGCGACCCCAAGCUGAAUGUCCUCCACCCCUAACUGAUUGGGCGGGUGGUGAAGUGAUUGGUGAUGAAGUCGAUAGCUGACUCCUCUACUGAGGCAGACCCCCAUGACAACGAGGACAAUGCCUCCACAUAUGCCCCAACUCCCCACACUCAUAACAACCCUCUGGUGCUGGUGACGGGGACUAAAGGGAACCCCUAACACCUGGAUGAUUGGUAGAAGAACCUGGCAUGGAGGAACCCUGAACUGAUGGAGCACGAGACGAACUCUAGGCUAGGAGGGCACUAAGUGAUGAAUGGCCCUAACUUGAACUAUGAGAACCAUGGCUUGAUGAUGCCUACGGUGAAGUGGUUGAGCUGAUUGAGCAUUUCUGAAUGGACGACUUCUAUCGUGCUAAAACUUACCCCCACGAGGAGCACCACCAAAACUACCAGAUCCACGAGGCCUUUUGACCUCCCUCUCCACUUGCUCCUGACGGUGAAUCGACUCUAUGACUCGAGCAAUGUCAACAACCUCCUCAAAAAAAGCACCAAACACCCUCUCUCUAGUCAUAAGAAUCCGUAGCUGGUAUAAGAGGCCAUCAACGAACCUCCUGAUCCUCUCCCUGUCUGUGGGAACCAACCAGAUAGCAUGAUGGACUAACUUAGAGAACCUCAUCUCAUAUUGCGUCACAGUCAUAUCAUUCUGACGCAACAGCUCGAACUGCCAGCGCAGCUCCUCUCUACGGGACUACAACAUAUAUUUCUCCAGAAAGAGAACGGAGAACUACUACAGGGUAGAGGCGCUGCACCAAUAGGCCUACACCUCUUAUAAUCCUCCCACCAAGUAAAGGCAUCUCCCGAAAACUGAAAGGUAGUGAACGAGACCCCACUAGUCUUCAUAAUACCCGCUGUACGUAGAAUCCUUUGACACUUGUCCAACAAACCCUGGGUAGCCUUGCCCUCUGUACCGCUGAAAGUCAGAGGCUGAAGUCUACCAAACCUCUCCAGUCUAUACUACUCAACAUCAAGCAUGAAUGGAACCAUAUAAUCCUGAGCAGGUGCAACUGGCUGGGCUGGUGGUGCUUCUGGUGUUUGUAGUACCGGAACAACCUACUCAGGUGUAUGGGAGAUGGGAGUCUGAGUCCCUCCCCUAGCCUAGGAAGUAGUUGUUGUAGUGGAAACAACAACCACCUAAGCAAGACUGGUCCACACGGUCAUAAUCUGAGCUAAGGUCUCUUGAAGACCUGGGAUAACAAUAGGCACAGUCGGUUCCUGGGCUGGUGUCACAUCCCAAACCUAGGGAGGUGUGGCUGGCACCCGAUGCCAUGCUGGCCUGCUAGAACCACUCUAUAACUCAGGUUUUUUUAACUAUUAAGGGCCAACAUGGCCACAUCUUGUAAUGUACAACUGUAAGUAGGCAAAAACUGUAUCAACAAACCAUUGUACAUAAAACAUGAAUACAUAUGGGCCGUCAAGGACUCUAACAUAAUGUAAAAAUGAACCUCUGUCUACAAAGCCUCUAAGAUUAUUUGACAUCAAAUGGGACGGGGCCCCUGCCUAACCAUAAGUCUGUAGCAAAACUCUGACAUGAUGACUUAUAGACUCGGUUGCACUUUGAAUGAAGUGGAGUCUUACCGAUCCUUCGAUGAAUGCUAACCUCGUCUACUAUGAGGGCUCGUCAAACUGAUUACCUAUGCUUGUAGUCAUGAAUACAACAUCCACAACAAAAAAGACGUCGGUACAAAUAAUAUACCGAGUAUGUAAGGCAGAACUGAAACAUAAUAAUAAGUCAACAUUAAUGAAAGAGAUAUAAGAAUCACACGAACCUCUAAAAUGCUACCGUAUAUGCAUACUUAUUAUACUUAUAUAUAUAUAUAUAUCCUCUUUGGAACAAUUAUCCAUGUCGAUGCGUGACUGCCCAACUGAUCAGUGGUAACUUCCCGACCGGCCGUAACUCGAUGGUAAAUUUGUUACUGCCCAACCGGUCAUAGCUCAUCGGUAAAUGCAUGACUUCCCGACCAGCCGUAGCUCGAUGGUAAAUGUGUAGCUACCCAAUCGUCCAUACCUUGAUGGUAAAUGCAUGACCGCCCGACCGGCCUUAGCUCGGUGGUAAAUAUGUAACUGCCUAACCGGCCGUAGCUCGGUGGUAAAUAAUGAUGCAUAUAGUACCAUUAUGAACAUUAAAAUCUUUAUCAAAUACCGCAAUAGGAAACUAGAUACAUACUUAGACAUGCUUGAAUAACAUUUUACGAGAAUGAAUAAAAUAGACAUCAUUAACUGCUAAGAGAAGAACCACUUAUGGAAUAUCAUUACGUUUACGUAUCGUUACUUAGAUCAUGCUAAAAAAAGGAAUUAGCCUUAACAUACCAUUAUGAUCUCUUCCUUAUUACUCAACCAAGCUCAAAAUAACUUCUUGCUUCUACAACAAGUGAAAUGAUACUGCCUUUAACAUAUAAUGUCGUACCAUCGUAUUUGGCUAGUCGUAUGAUUUAAGGAAAAUCGGGAAGCAACUCCCCUAUUUUUAAUACAUCCCAAAGACCACUAAGUGUCAUCAACAGUCCAACAAGAACAACUAUAACCAACAAUAGCAACAACAAUAAUAUAAUCCAAUAUGAGUUUCUCCAAUUAUCUUAACAAUCAUAUUAAGCGGAAAACUUGUUUAUACUCAUAAGAAGAUAUAAAUUGAAUCCAACUCGUAUUCCAUAAAUUAGUUUACAACCUUCAGAACAUCAUACUUAUAGUUUAAAACAUCCACAAAAUGCCUUUUAAAAUAGCCCUAUACUCUAGCACCUUAAAUUUUAUCGUCAAUCACUUGUUUUUCAUCUUUUCUUCUUUAAUCAACUUAAUUAACACCUAAGGAAUCUUAAAAACAGAAGCCACAAUAUUAUCAAAUUAUUUCUUAUAAUUUUCAGCCACCACAAACCAUAUAUUUAGCCACAGAACAGUCCAACCAAAAAGACAACCGUAUCCCAUGUUCCUUCAAGUACAUCUUAUGGUUUUUCACCUAAUCAACAGAACAAACACAAGAUUAACCUUAGGAACAAUCAAGAAGAUGUUAUACAUACCUUGUAUAGUAUAUACAACUUCAAACCCUAUCUCAACUUAGCUCACAAUAGCCCAUAGAAGCAUUCUCUUGUCGUUUUAAAAACAUCUUUGGUGAUGAUUUGAGUUGUUGUUUCCUUGAGUUUGGUUCUUGUGAUCUUGAUAUAUGUUAAGAAUGAUUUUGGAGAUCUUGAGAGUGGUUUUGUGUGAGUAACAUCUAUAUUGUUGACGAGGUAUAAGGGGAUAAGAUCACCGCCUCUAUUCUCCAAGCAGGUGGGUAAGCUUCCUACUUGGCAGCUUGAGUAGUGCCACUUCGGACACUUGUAUCUCUCUAAUCCGAUAUUGAAUUGACAAACGGUUUGUAGCAUGUGAAACUAGACACAUAGGGAGUUAUUUCCAUAUAAAGAUCUCAUGUAACUCUCAAUAGAUUGGGAGAAAACCACAUCGCAAAUUCGCUAUAAACCUACAUGUUUUUCUGAAAUGCGACAACGUGACUUGGCGACCCUAUUUUAAAAAUCCAUAUUUCUCUACUUCGAUAUCGUAUAAAUAAAUUGUUUGGACCGUGAAAAAUAUGUUCCAAGAACUUCAUUUUGGAAUGAGAUAUUUCCCAAAAUGACAUCAUAAAGCUUACGAAUUUAAUUUCUCAAAAUGGCUCGUUACAAGGCAAAUCUUAACUCGAUUUUUCCGUAAGUUAAAUCCAAUUUUCCCCAAACUUUAUAUUUCAUAUUCAAACAUCAUAUAUAGUCAUAUAACUACUUCAAACACAUUUAAAUCAUGAUUAACAAGUCUCAUUAAUCCUACUUAUCUAACACUUUGAUAAACCUUCCUUAGGUUUAAAGAAAGAUUUCAUCCUUUUCGAGCUUACAUCAAUUUACUUAUGGCUUACUUUCACGUACGGAAACAUUGGGUGUUCCCCGUUGUAACAUUCAUCCUUGAUCAUUGACUGAUGCGCUUAUCAUUAUCAUAACUUAUAACUUUUGUGAAUACUUUACUAUUCUUCUUGCCAUCUAGGCAACUGUUCUACGAAUAAAUCCAAAGGCUAGGACAUUCCCCCCUUUCAGACCUCUUUCUCACACCACGACCUAUGGUCAGAAUUCUUGCAAUCUUGUAACUAUUGCUACCAUGUAGCAUGUACGACUCUGUCCUUGUAUGUGCACAUAUGCGACUCUUCUAUAACCACAUUCAAUCUCUUGAAUAACACUUCACGAGAAUGAAUAACAUAUGUAUCCUUAAAUUCUAAGAGUAGAACCACUUAUGAAAUAUCAUUAUGUUUACGGAUCGUUACUUGGAUUAUGCCAAAAUAAAGAAGGAUUAGCUUUAACAUACAUGUAUGAUUUAUUCAUUAUUACUCAACCAAGUUCAAAACAACUUCUUGCAUCUACAAUAAAUGACAUGAUUUUGGCGUUAACAUUUAAUAUCAUACCAUCGUAUUUGGCUAGUUGUAUGACUUAAGGAAAAUUGGGCAGCAACUCUCCUAUUUUUAAUACAUCCCAAAGACAACUAAGGGUCAUCAACAACCCAACAACAAUAACUAUAACCAACAAUAGCAACAACAACAAUAUAAUCCAAUAUGAGUUGCUCUGAUUAUCUUAACAAUCAUAUUAAGCAACAAGCUCAUUUAUACUCAUAAGAAUAUAUAAAUUAAAUCCAACUCUUAUUCCAUAAAUUAGUUUAAAACCUUUAGAACAUCAUACUUAUAGUUUAAAACAUCCAUAAAAUGCCUUCCAAAAUAGCCCUAUACGUCUAGCACCUAACAUUUUAUCGUCAAUCACUUGUUUUUCAUCUUUUCUUCUUCAAUCAACUUACUUAACACCCAAGGAAGCUUAAAAACAGCAGCCACAAUAUUAUCAUAUUAUUUCUCACAAUUUCCAACCACCACAAACCAUAUAUUUGGCCACAACAAGUUCAACCAAAAAGACAACAGUAUCCCAUGUUCAUUUAAGUGCAUGUUAUGGUUUUUUCACCUAAUCAACACAACCAACACAAGCUUAACCUUAGGCACAAUCAAGAAGAUGUUAUACAUACCUUUUAUAGCAGAUACAACUCGAAACCCUAUCUCAACUUAGCUCACUAUAGCCCUCAAUCACACCACAACACCAUAGAAGCAUUCUCUUGUAGUCUUUAACAUCUUUGAUGAUGAUUUGAGUUGUUGUUUCCUUGAGUUUGGUACUUAUGCUCAUGAGAUAUGUUAGGAAUGAUUUUGGAGAUGUUGAGAGUGGUUUUGUUUGAGUAGCAUCUGCGUUGUUGAUGAGAUAUAAAGGGAUAAGACCACCGCCUCAAUUCUCCAAGCAUGUGGGUAAGCUGCCUGCUUGGCAGCUUGAGCAGUUUUAAAAGAAAAAUUUAAAAAUUAGGGCUUUUAGCAGAGUCAAGUUUAAAAAGCAGUAGGAACAUAGAAUCGGUCAAAAUAAACAAGGGAAAAAGGUUUAAUCAUAAAUAAAUUGGUCGAAACAGGUAUCGAAAGAACUCCGAGAAACCCUAGUUUUCAAAGAAAGUAAAAACGGUUUAGAGUAGAAGAUCUUUUAGAAGAAAACUCGUGAAUGAGAAAAUCAUAGAAGGAAUCAGGCUUAAAGCAUGAAAAUAACAUAGAUCUGAGAGAUCCAGAAGAGAGUUAAGGUUUCAAAAGGAAACCUAAGUAGAAAUCGAAAGAACCUGUUGCAACUUCACAAAUCGUAACACACAUGGUGUGAUUUUGCCCAAAAUCACACCAGAGAAGCCUUCAACAGAAUAAUCAGAAUCCCUAGGUCCAAAUCGACAUGGCCCAGGACCCUUGAGGGCCUUAGAGAUGAGGAGCAAGGCGGUGGAGUGACCAUUGGUGGCUUGGGGCUUGAGAGAUAGUCGCUGGAGAUGACCAGAGAAGGAGGUGAGUGGAGGAGUCUAGGGUUAGGUUUGAGAGAAGAGUGGAGAUUAAAGAGCAUCUGAAGGCGGC